ACGAAGGGUGCAAGCGUUACUCGGAAUUACUGGGCGUAAAGCGUGCGUAGGUGGUUUGUUAAGUCUGUUGUGAAAGCCCCGGGCUCAACCUGGGAAUGGCAAUGGAUACUGGCAAGCUAGAGUGCGGUAGAGGGUAGUGGAAUUCCCGGUGUAGCGGUGAAAUGCGUAGAGAUCGGGAGGAACACCAGUGGCGAAGGCGGCUACCUGGACCAGCACUGACACUGAGGCACGAAAGCGUGGGGAGCAAACAGGA
Molecule: ribosomal RNA, 253 nt
Filed under: uncultured prokaryote
Description: partial 16S ribosomal RNA
Rfam family: Bacterial small subunit ribosomal RNA
Source: RNAcentral